This 660-nucleotide ribosomal RNA is filed under the name Pelobates cultripes (western spadefoot toad). It matches the Rfam family "Eukaryotic small subunit ribosomal RNA", at positions 33 to 578 of the family's 1831-position model. Lineage: Eukaryota; Metazoa; Chordata; Amphibia; Anura; Pelobatidae. The record is from RNAcentral.
UGAUAUAUUUGGGUAUACACCGUGUAGGUGGAAGUGGCGGCGGUGGAGGAGGAGGUAGCCAACACUGUUUAUUAGUUUUUAUUUUUUAUUGGGGUAGCCCCCAAAAUAUUGGGACAUGUAAAAAAAGAAAACAAAGAAUAAGUGCACUUGAAUAUAACCAUGGCUGGGUGAGGCCGGUAUAAAUGUCUAUUCUGCACAAGGUACAGACAAGUCUGGUGGGAUCCAUGACUGGUUCAUUUUAAUAAACAUGAGCUUGUCCACGUUGGCCAUGGACAGGCGGCUGCGUUUGUCUGUGAUAACCUCGUGCUGAUCGCACGUCCCCGUGACGUGACACCGACAACGCAUUCAGAUAUCUGCCCUAUCAACUUUCGAUGCAAUUUUCCGCGCCUACCAUGGUGACCACGGGUAACGGGGAAUCAGGGUUCCAUUCCAGAGAGGGAGCCUGAGAAACGGCUACCACAUGCAAGGAAGGCAGCAGGCGCGCAAAUUACCCACUCCCGACACGGGGAGAUAGUGAUGAAAAAAUAACAAUACACUACUCUUUCCAGGCCCUGUAAUUGUAAUGAGUCCACUUUAAAUCCUUUAACUUGGAUCAAUUGGAGGGCAAGUCUGGUGCAGAGCGACUGACCUGUGCGUUCUGCAGCUGAAACUCCACUAUCG